This is a long non-coding RNA of Oncorhynchus gorbuscha (pink salmon), 604 nucleotides long. RefSeq lists it as uncharacterized. NCBI's taxonomy places the organism in Eukaryota, Metazoa, Chordata, Actinopteri, Salmoniformes, Salmonidae. The transcript is spliced from 3 exons. The record is from RefSeq and is a predicted model, not a curated record.
AAUCUCGCCCACGAGCUGAGUGAUGUUUACAACUCAACUCUCACCUUGCUGCAGUACCGAUUAGCCUUACAGUUAAUCCCAUCCAAUUAUUUUAUAAGUAUCUGCUACCUGAACAUGGCACACAUAUGUCUACACAGAGAGGGAGAGCCAGGUGCAGAGGUCCAAGGUGUAUCUUGAACAGCGGUUGGAGAGAUACCAGCAUGGUGCAUGAUGAUGAUGCUGGAGAGGACACCAGGAGCACUUUUGGAUGUGAUCCAUCUCAUGCAGGCCAACCAGUGAAGUGGAGAAUGUGUGUGGGGAGGCCCUUUUUGGAGCACCUGUGGCAGGUGUCCUGAAAUGCAAACUGACAUUGAGAUGAAGUGCUGUGGUGGGGGGGGCAGUGCAUUGCCGCACAUAUACAGUGGUUCAUCCUUUAAAAGUUGCUGUGUACUGCAGCACAGCUUGCGUGGUGCCGCAGAAUUCUAGGGCACGUUAUUUAUCCAUUAAUAGUUAGUUAGUGCUAGUUUGACCACCAGAGGGCAUCUUUAACAAUCAUUUGAUAGCCUUCAAUAGUGGCUGUAUGUCACGUUCUGACCUUUAUUUUCCUUUGUUUUGUCUUUAUUUA